Molecule: non-coding RNA, 79 nt
Organism: Caerostris darwini
Lineage: Eukaryota; Metazoa; Arthropoda; Arachnida; Araneae; Araneidae
Source: the annotation of a GenBank genome assembly
UCACACAGGUUCUCGUUAGAUCACCGAAGUCAAGCAUCAUUGGGCGCGGUCAGUACUUAAAUGGGUGACCACCUGGGCA